This 889-nucleotide ribosomal RNA is filed under the name uncultured bacterium. RNAcentral describes it as "bacterial SSU rRNA". It matches the Rfam family "Bacterial small subunit ribosomal RNA", at positions 8 to 877 of the family's 1533-position model. The record is from RNAcentral.
AGAGUUUGAUCAUGGCUCAGGAUGAACGCUGGCGGCGUGCCUAACACAUGCAAGUCGAACGGAGUAUUUUUUACAGACUUUCUUCGGAGAUGAAGUAGCUAAUACUUAGUGGCGGACGGGUGAGUAACGCGUGGGUAACCUGCCUUAUACAGGGGAAUAACAGCCGGAAACGGUUGCUAAAACCGCAUAACAUGCAUUCAUCACAUGAUGAAAGCAUCAAAUAUUUAUAGGUAUAAGAUGGGCCCGCGUCUGAUUAGCUAGUUGGUGAGGUAACUGCUCACCAAGGCGACGAUCAGUAGCCGGCUUGAGAGAGUGACCGGCCACAUUGGGACUGAGACACGGCCCAAACUCCUACGGGAGGCAGCAGUGAGGAAUAUUGGUCAAUGGACGCAAGUCUGAACCAGCCACGUCGCGUGAAGGAAGACGGCCCUACGGGUUGUAAACUUCUUUUGUAAGGGAAUAAAGUGAGCCACGUGUGGCUUUUUGCAUGUACCUUACGAAUAAGGAUCGGCUAACUCCGUGCCAGCAGCCGCGGUAAUACGGAGGAUCCGAGCGUUAUCCGGAUUUAUUGGGUUUAAAGGGUGCGCAGGCGGGAGAUUAAGUCGGCGGUGAAAUUUUGCAGCUCAACUGUAAAAGUGCCUUCGAAACUGGUUUCCUUGAGUGUAGAUGAAGUAGGCGGAAUUUGUGGUGUAGCGGUGAAAUGCAUAGAUAUCACGAGGAACUCCGAUUGCGCAGGCAGCUUACUAAACUACUACUGACGCUCAGGCACGAAGGCGUGGGGAUCAAACAGGAUUAGAUACCCUGGUAGUCCACGCAGUAAACGAUGAUUACUAGCUGUUUGCGAUACAAUGUAAGCGGCUGAGCGAAAGCGUUAAGUAAUCCACCUGGG